UGCAAGUCGAGGGGCAGCAUGGUCUUAGCUUGCUAAGGCCGAUGGCGACCGGCGCACGGGUGAGUAACACGUAUCCAACCUGCCGUCUACUCUUGGACAGCCUUCUGAAAGGAAGAUUAAUACAAGAUGGCAUCAUGAGUCCGCAUGUUCACAUGAUUAAAGGUAUUCCGGUAGACGAUGGGGAUGCGUUCCAUUAGAUAGUAGGCGGGGUAACGGCCCACCUAGUCUUCGAUGGAUAGGGGUUCUGAGAGGAAGGUCCCCCACAUUGGAACUGAGACACGGUCCAAACUCCUACGGGAGGCAGCAGUGAGGAAUAUUGGUCAAUGGGCGCAGGCCUGAACCAGCCAAGUAGCGUGAAGGAUGACUGCCCUAUGGGUUGUAAACUUCUUUUAUAAAGGAAUAAAGUCGGGUAUGGAUACCCGUUUGCAUGUACUUUAUGAAUAAGGAUCGGCUAACUCCGUGCCAGCAGCCGCGGUAAUACGGAGGAUCCGAGCGUUAUCCGGAUUUAUUGGGUUUAAAGGGAGCGUAGAUGGAUGUUUAAGUCAGUUGUGAAAGUUUGCGGCUCAACCGUAAAAUUGCAGUUGAUACUGGAUAUCUUGAGUGCANUUGAGGCAGGCGGAAUUCGUGGUGUAGCGGUGAAAUGCUUAAAUAUCACGAAGAACUCCGAUUGCGAAGGCAGCCUGCUAACUGCAACUGACAUUGAGGCUCGAAAGUGUGGGUAUCAAACAGGAUUAGAUACCCUGGUAGUCCACACGGUAAACGAUGAAUACUCGCUGUUUGCGAUAUACUGCAAGCGGCCAAGCGAAAGCGUUAAGUAUUCCACCUGGGGAGUACGCCGGCAACGGUGAAACUCAAAGGAAUUGACGGGGGCCCGCACAAGCGGAGGAACAUGUGGUUUAAUUCGAUGAUACGCGAGGAACCUUACCCGGGCUUAAAUUGCAGAUGAAUUACGGUGAAAGCCGUAAGCCGCAAGGCAUCUGUGAAGGUGCUGCAUGGUUGUCGUCAGCUCGUGCCGUGAGGUGUCGGCUUAAGUGCCAUAACGAGCGCAACCCUUGUUGUCAGUUACUAACAGGUUCCGCUGAGGACUCUGACAAGACUGCCAUCGUAAGAUGUGAGGAAGGUGGGGAUGACGUCAAAUCAGCACGGCCCUUACGUCCGGGGCUACACACGUGUUACAAUGGGGGGUACAGAGGGCCGCUACCACGCGAGUGGAUGCCAAUCCCAAAAACCUCUCUCAGUUCGGACUGGAGUCUGCAACCCGACUCCACGAAGCUGGAUUCGCUAGUAAUCGCGCAUCAGCCACGGCGCGGUGAAUACGUUCCCGGGCCUUGUACACACCGCCCGUCAAGCCAUGGGAGCCGGGGGUACCUGAAGUGCUUAACCGCGAGGAG
RNAcentral lists this ribosomal RNA (1391 nucleotides) under uncultured Bacteroides sp. Its description in RNAcentral is "16S ribosomal RNA". It matches the Rfam family "Bacterial small subunit ribosomal RNA". Lineage: Bacteria; Pseudomonadati; Bacteroidota; Bacteroidia; Bacteroidales; Bacteroidaceae. The record is from RNAcentral.